GUAUCCUACGGGAGGCCAGCAGUGGGGAAUAUUGGACAAUGGGCGAAAGCCUGAUCCAGCCAUGCCGCGUGUGUGAAGAAGGCCUGCGGGUUGUAAAGCWCUUUCAGUAGGGAAGAUAAUGACGGUACCUGCAGAAGAAGCACCGGCUAACUCCGUGCCAGCAAGCCGCGGUAAUAUA
This 178-nucleotide ribosomal RNA is filed under the name uncultured marine bacterium. RNAcentral describes it as "partial small subunit ribosomal RNA". It matches the Rfam family "Bacterial small subunit ribosomal RNA", at positions 334 to 527 of the family's 1533-position model. The record is from RNAcentral.